This 425-nucleotide unclassified non-coding RNA is filed under the name Hevea brasiliensis (rubber tree). The record is from RNAcentral. Lineage: Eukaryota; Viridiplantae; Streptophyta; Magnoliopsida; Malpighiales; Euphorbiaceae.
GGUUCUUGUGUUAAAUUAAAAUAAGCUUCCAUUCUCUCUGCUUUCUUCUUCGCAUUUCCACAACGCUAACACCAAUUCUCUCUCGAUCGAAUUGGAAUUGGAUUUUCACUUUGCUCACGAUUAUGGGACCUGGAUUGUUCUCUGAUAUCGGCAAGAAGGCCAAAGAUCUGCUGACGAAGGAUUAUAUCGCCGAUCAGAAAUUGUCCAUCUCUACCUACAGUGACACAGGAGUGGCCCUUACAUCAACCGCAGUGAAGAAAGGAGGGCUUUCAACUGGAGAUGUAGGAGCGCUUUACAAAUAUAAGAACACUUUGAUUGAUGUCAAAGUUGAUACAGGAUCAAAUAUUUUAACAACUCUUACUUUGACUGACAUCGUCCCAUCCACAAAAACCAUUGCCUCUCUGAAAUUCCCUGACUACAGUUCU